CUGUGAUGUCUAGCAUCUGUUUCUACUCUGACACUCUGUGAUUCCACUGCCGUGAUUCUGGCUCACCGAACGAGGCUGGAACUCCUCUCUUGGUGUUCAAGGUGGCCCCAGCCUUGCUUCCCAAGAUCGCCUGAUCCACUGCUCUCCUGCCAGGAGUCUCUCCAACCAGUCACCAGACUGGAGACCUGCCGUGAAUUCUUCUCUCUCCCUGGCUUAGAGAAGGAGCUUUCCUAGACGGCAGACCCACUCCUGGAGUGUGUUCAACUUGUGUCAGUAGCAGAAGAGUUCAUCAGCCCAGCCUUUGUAUCAUAAAACUCAUCUGACACCCCUGAUUCUUCAAACUUUUCAAAGCCAUUUCGCAAACCUCGCUCGAAGGAUCCCCUCCGUGUGUCUGAGCAGCAGCUAAGGCGGAGGGCAUGCCCACCCGACAGGUGGAAAACCUGAGGUCCAGGGCAGAGGGCCUGAUAUUCAAUAAAGAAAGGUUUCUGGAUGGGGAGGUGCAGGCACAGUGAUGUUUCAUGACUCAGAGCACAUCGGCAGCUGGACAGUAACUAAUGAGAGGCUUCUGACCUCUGUUCUAUGAUGUUUUCAUUCAUUCAUUCCUCAGCUAUUUAUUCAACUU
This 622-nucleotide long non-coding RNA is filed under the name Equus caballus (horse). RNAcentral's name for it is "lncRNA (ENSECAG00000056747.1)". The record is from RNAcentral. Lineage: Eukaryota; Metazoa; Chordata; Mammalia; Perissodactyla; Equidae.